GCCGCGGCCGCCUCCGCGUGGCUCCUCUUCGCGGGUUUUUCUCGGGGCAGGCGCGGUCCCUGCUUCCCCGUCACAUCCUCUUCAAAGGCCACCGGCGGCGCUGGGCAGCAUCCCUCUCUCCGCGCCAACAGUAACUCCGAUCUGGUGCGAUGGGCUUCCUCAUCAUCUUCCUGGUUGUCAUCUGGUGCCAUGGACGGGACAGAACCGGAUGGGGUGGCGUUGGUGGCGGGAGGGAGGAGGCACUGCAAGAAUCCAUCACGGAGGACCAGGAUGUGGUUCUUCAAGGCCGCAACCAUUUAGGAGACAACCAGAGAAGGUAGAGAGACGGUGCUUCCAUUGUGUUUUCUGCUGGGCGUCUCCUCUGCCCCCGGUGGCAGCCGGGCAAGGCCCCCAUCACCGUACUGGGAGCUGCUGCUCCUCCUCCUGGUGCACACCGUUAUCCCCAUUGCUCUCCCCAUGUACAUAUUUUCUCUCUCUCCAUGUACACAAUGUUGUUGAUUGGUUUAGGCUCCUGGGCAAGCGUGAGUGAUGGCUGCGUGGAGGUACCUGCGGAUGUUUCCGUCGAUGGGGCUCGUCGUGCAUAGGUGGCGCCAGGUUUGACAUCCCAUGGCCAUGGCGUGCCCAACUCUUGCCUGUGAGUAGCAACCUCGUGGCCUUCUAAAUGUUUUGCACUUAGUUAAAUUUUAUCACAAACAAGAUAAGCGUGCUUUCCUUCAUUUAGAUUAGUAAAACCUGAAGCACGAUAAGUGUGAUCCACCUUAGUUUCAACACCACAAUUAUAAAGUAGUUUGGUUGAAAGUUUAAAUUAUACCAAUGUGUUGUUUUCUGCCAAAGUCAGAGCUAUUGUAUGCUUGGAUGUCUUUCAAUCUUCAACACAUGUCAAAUUUAGCACAUGUGAAUGAUUUUCAUGGCUUCAGUCAGUUUUGCAGUAUGAAAGUCACUACUUCAUGUAUACGAGUUUUGGCUUAUUGCGUUUGUAUUUAAUUAACACAUAGUGCUUAGGAGGCUCACUGAAUUAAAAAGGAGUCCUAUGUAGUUUUCAACUUAUAAAUCUAUGUACUGAGUUCCUUUAUGCAUUGCAGGGGAAAACAACAUCUGUUUUUUCUGAAUUUUGGUUUUUGGGUUAUGUUGCUAAGGUUGGAAAAUAGCAAUAUCGAUGAAACAAUACAUGUUAUUUCGAUUGCUAUCUUGGAUCCGAUUUGAAUGUGGUGCAUAGAUACCUUUUGGAAUGAAAAUGUUAGGUUUAAGGCAAGGUUUCCAAUUUUCCAUUAAUUUCAGUACAAGGCUGUAGCCUUUUGGAACAAAAAAACCUUGAUGCGGACAGAUUUUCUCGUGUACUAAAUAUGUCUUUUAGUUCAAUGUUAUGAUAUGGAAUACAAAAAAACACUGUCUAUGGUAGUAGUCUAGCAGAUGGGGAGUUCUGAGAGACAUCAGCCUGACAAGCAGGUUUGGCAAGGAUGGGUCCAAUUCCUGGUUCAGGUUUGCUAAUCCAAAUUCUCCCGCUGCUUGUUUAGCUGUACACGCCUUUUUCAAAUCUGUUGUUUCUUUUGGAUUUGUUAUGCAUUACGUGAUAUCGAUACUAGAUUAUAUAACUUCAUGUGUGCGCACUUCCUGUUAUUAAUUCUGGCUAGCGAUUGAGUAAUAUGCAGGCUGGUGGAUCAUUCUGGCAUUGUCAUGAUCGGAAGUAUUUUCCCAUUUCUAAUUACUACUUUUUUUCUGCGCGCUUGCCUUUUCCGCUCUUUGGAUUCAAUGUGUCUACUGUCCUUGUUUUCCUUAUUGUUGCUGGAUGCCUUGCUCUCUGUUCGUCUUACUGGUACUUUGUUUUUGUCUCUAUUCUUUUUGGCUGACCAUCAAGUACUGUUUCACUGGUUAGCUGGAACUGUGUCGUCUGGGCCGUGCAGGGGUGGUGCCCGCGCCGCCUCGUACUGCCGCCUGCUGGUAGGGACUGCCUCGCUGGCGAAGACGGGGCCGAGCGGUGCCAUUGUUGCCUUGACCGGUCCGACUAGGAAGGUCACAUAUGCCCUAUGGUUGUGGGAGCUGAAGCAGGGACUUGACGAGGGCUGCCUCGACAGGACACUGUGAGCUCGGGUCCGUCCGUACCGCCGUACCGGCGACCCCUCCUUCAAGGGUGAUUUCUUGACGUUCCUUCUCCCGUGGCCCUCCUAUUGUUAUUUUUUUUACCUCCUGUGUAUGCAUAUGAAGCAGUGGUGUCACUCAGUUUCCGUUGCGUGAUUAUGCAUGGAUGUAAUAACUUGCUGCGAUUUGUAACUGAAAUCUUAUUUCAUAUAGUAGUUUAGUAUGAAAUUUGUUA
This is a long non-coding RNA of Lolium rigidum, 2311 nucleotides long. RefSeq lists it as uncharacterized. The transcript has 2 exons. Lineage: Eukaryota; Viridiplantae; Streptophyta; Magnoliopsida; Poales; Poaceae. The record is from RefSeq and is a predicted model, not a curated record.